This is a long non-coding RNA of Portunus trituberculatus (swimming crab), 481 nucleotides long. RefSeq lists it as uncharacterized. The record is from RefSeq and is a predicted model, not a curated record. Lineage: Eukaryota; Metazoa; Arthropoda; Malacostraca; Decapoda; Portunidae. The transcript has 3 exons.
CCUCGCCCUGGCUAACCAAGAAGGGCGAGGGCGAGUAAGAAGAAUGAGCCGGGCAGAGCGCCGAGCAGCCAGCAGUCGCCACAGGGCCAACUCUCCCUCGCCACACUCCUCGUAACUCUUAAUUAGGGUGACGCGCAUGUGACUCCCCCAGCGUGGGUCGAGUGGGGUGUCUCCGCAUAACCUGAGGGCGAUGACGGGAUGUCGGGAUGCGAGGCUCUGAUCAGGAUGGCACGGGGAGGACGACAGGAGGGGAAGGUGUGUUGUGUGUGGAGACGGACGGAGGACCUGCGGCACGCCAACCUCCAGGGGAGUCAAGAAAUCUGGACCGCAAUACCCAAUGCUGCUCGGGAGGAAUUUGAAUAGAGAGGAAAAAAACGAAGAAGAGGAGGAGUAGGAGGAGUAGGAGGAAGAGGAAGAGGAAGAGGGGACACUGUGACGUUUCUCCACUUGCGUGACUUCAGCCGUAUCAUCUCCUUUCCCU